Molecule: non-coding RNA, 141 nt
Filed under: Paramoeba aestuarina
Lineage: Eukaryota; Discosea; Flabellinia; Dactylopodida; Paramoebidae
Source: RNAcentral
AAGAAAUAAGAUCAGAAAAAGAACAAGAAAAAGGAAAAGAAAAAGAACAAGAAAAAGAAAUUUCUCUCAUCCGCAAUCAACACCUUCCUCUUCCCCCUUCACUUUUGUCUUCUCUCACCUCUCUCGCUUCUUCUCUUUUUC